UAUCAAGAAUGAAUCUAAAAGCUUGAAGAAGUCACUUAAGGAUGUUGCAACUGAAAAUGUAUUCGAGAAGAAGCUUUUAGCUGAUGUCGUUCCACCGGAUGACAUUGAAGUUACCUUUGACAAUAUUGGAGCUCUUGAAAACGUGAAGGAUACAUUAGAGGAGUUGGUCAUGCUUCCUUUACAGAGGCUUGAACUCUUCUGCAAGGGGCAGCUAACCAAGCCUUGCAAGGGCAUACUCUUAUUUGGACCUCCCGGAACCGGAAAGACCAUGCUGGCAAAGGCCGUGGCUACUGAAGCUGGUGCAAACUUCAUCAAUUUAUCAAUGUCAAGCCUCACAUCGAAGUGGUUUGGUGAGGCUGAGAA
This is a long non-coding RNA of Hibiscus syriacus, 363 nucleotides long. RefSeq lists it as uncharacterized. NCBI's taxonomy places the organism in Eukaryota, Viridiplantae, Streptophyta, Magnoliopsida, Malvales, Malvaceae. The transcript has 4 exons. The record is from RefSeq and is a predicted model, not a curated record.